GGGUGAGUAACGCGUGGGUAACCUGCCCUGUACACACGGAUAACAUACCGAAAGGUAUGCUAAUACAAGAUAAAAUACUUUUAUCGCAUGGUAGAAGUAUCAAAGCUUUUGCGGUACAGGAUGGACCCGCGUCUGAUUAGCUAGUUGGUAAGGUAACGGCUUACCAAGGCGACGAUCAGUAGCCGACCUGAGAGGGUGAUCGGCCACAUUGGAACUGAGACACGGUCCAAACUCCUACGGGAGGCAGCAGUGGGGAAUAUUGCACAAUGGGCGAAAGCCUGAUGCAGCAACGCCGCGUGAGCGAUGAAGGCCUUCGGGUCGUAAAGCUCUGUCCUCAAGGAAGAUAAUGACGGUACUUGAGGAGGAAGCCCCGGCUAACUACGUGCCAGCAGCCGCGGUAAUACGUAGGGGGCUAGCGUUAUCCGGAAUUACUGGGCGUAAAGGGUGCGUAGGUGGUUUCUUAAGUCAGAGGUGAAAGGCUACGGCUCAACCGUAGUAAGCCUUUGAAACUGGGGAACUUGAGUGCAGGAGAGGAGAGUGGAAUUCCUAGUGUAGCGGUGAAAUGCGUAGAUAUUAGGAGGAACACCAGUUGCGAAGGCGGCUCUCUGGACUGUAACUGACACUGAGGCACGAAAGCGUGGGGAGCAAACAGGAUUAGAUACCCUGGUAGUCCACGCCGUAAACGAUG
Molecule: ribosomal RNA, 688 nt
Filed under: uncultured bacterium
Lineage: Bacteria
Description: bacterial SSU rRNA
Rfam family: Bacterial small subunit ribosomal RNA
Source: RNAcentral